Arabidopsis lyrata subsp. lyrata is the source of this 734-nucleotide long non-coding RNA. RefSeq lists it as uncharacterized. The transcript is spliced from 2 exons. The record is from RefSeq and is a predicted model, not a curated record. NCBI's taxonomy places the organism in Eukaryota, Viridiplantae, Streptophyta, Magnoliopsida, Brassicales, Brassicaceae.
GUAAAUACUCGAGAAUAUUUGGGAUAUGUGUGUUUCGGGUUUGAUGUUGCAGUCUCUGCGGAAGCGGUCAAGUGGGUAGAUAUGUGUGUUUGGUGGCUUCUGCGAAGAGCCACCAGAGUCCAUGUGGUUCGUCUCCUUUCUAAGCUGAGGCCUUUUUGUGUGAAGUUUGUGCUUGGUUAUAAGUUUUCAGGUGUUGUCUUCUCUUUGGUGGUCGCUGUGGGAUGUUAACAUGAUCGAUUGAGUCCUUUUGUUCCCCUGAGCAAGGAUCAUCGAGAUGGUUAGGUUUCGCUCCCUGUCUUUGCAUUUCCGCAUCUUUUGUGAUCAGAUUGCUUUUUUUAGGCUUUUAUCUAGGCGCUCCAUGACAGACCAACGUCUCCGCCGCAUCCAGAAGUGUUUUAUGAGGAUCAGUUUUGACCUUUACUUGUCGGGUUAUGAAGUCUUGGUUACUUGGUUUUGAGAGAUCAUCUCUCAUCAUGAUGGGAAGAAGCAGAUGUUAUCGAUUGGUUGGCCGUGGGUAGCAUUGGUAAAUCGCAUUCUCAAGUUCUUCUAAAGAAAAGGUCUUCUUUGGUGCUUAUGUCAAGUGUUUUCUUCGGAUUUAAGUUUGUAUGCUUCCUUAGAUUUUGGUUUCGAUCUCUUUCGAUUUCAGCUUUAAAAUUUUUUGUUUGUAAUGUGUUCAUGUUUCCUUUACAUAGGGCUUAGUUUUCGGAGAAUUCACGUUUUCUUCCGGCUUAGUU